UACAGAGGGGGCAAGCGUUGUUCGGAAUUACUGGGCGUAAAGGGCGCGUAGGCGGCCUGCUAAGUCGAACGUGAAAUCCCUGGGCUCAACCCAGGAACUGCGUCCGAUACUGGUUGGCUUGAAUCCGGGAGAGGGAUGUGGAAUUCCAGGUGUAGCGGUGAAAUGCGUAGAUAUCUGGAGGAACACCGGUGGCGAAGGCGGCCUGCUGGGCAGUUUGGCUGACACUGAGGCGCGACAGCGUGGGGAGCAAACAGG
This 255-nucleotide ribosomal RNA is filed under the name uncultured bacterium. RNAcentral's name for it is "partial 16S ribosomal RNA". It matches the Rfam family "Bacterial small subunit ribosomal RNA", at positions 524 to 776 of the family's 1533-position model. The record is from RNAcentral.